UAUGCUGGAGGACCGAACGGGUUGGUGCUGCAAAACCUUCCGAUGACCUGUGUUUAGGAGUGAAAAGCUCAUCGAAUACCGUGAUAGCUGGUUCUCUCCGAAAUGCAUUUAGGUGCAGCCUGUAUUUGAAGGUCUUGAAGAGGUAGAGCUCUGGAAAGGCUAGGGGGAUCGAGAGAUCUUACCAAACCUUACUAAACUUCGAAUGCUUCAAGGAAUAUUGCAGAGUGGGACUACGGGAGCAAGUUUCGUAGUCAAAAGGAUAACAGUCCAGACUUCUGAUUAAGGUCCCUAAAGUAAUGCUAAGUGGAAAAAGAGGUGUCUUUACUUAUACAUCCAGGAGGUUUGCCUAGAAGCAGCAAUCCUUUAAAGAAAGCGUAACAGCUCACUGGACUAGCGAAGAUGCGCUGAAGAUGUAACGGGGCUAAGCAUUAUACCGAAAUCGAAGACCAGUGUAGUAAUACACUGUGUGGUAGGAGAGUGUUCUUACAGGAUGAAGCUACAUCGCGAGAUGUGGUCGACUAGUAAGAAGUAAAAAUGCUGACAUGAGUAACGCUUAUUGAUGAAAAUUCAAUAUAUCGAAACCCUAAGGAUUCCUACGCAACGUUCAUCGUCGUAGGGUUAGUCGGGACCUAAGGCUUAUCCAGAAAUGGAGAGUCGAUGGAUAACUGGUUAAUAUUCCAGUACUUAUAUAAAGAGUGAUGGAGUAACGCAUUGAGAUUUGUGAGAGCUCAUUAAGGAUUUGAGUCGAAAGAGUGAGGUUUUUAUGACGUUAGUCGUAAAGGUAGUUGCAGGAAAAUCCACAGCUAUUGAUACUGAGCUUGAUCGGAAUUUGAUUCCUCGGAAUUAGAAAUUCUCAUCGUUUUGGUGCCGAGAAAAACUUCUAAACUUAAUCUUUAUGUAACCCGUACUCAGAUCAGACACUUGUGGGGUGGUAGAGAAUACUAAGAUAAUCGAGAUAAUUAAUGGGUAAGGAACUUGGCAAAUUAGCGGACGUACUUUCGAAAUAAGUCCUGUCCCGAGUAAUCGGGAUCGCAGCGAAAGAGAUGGGGGGAACUGUUUAUCACAAACACAGCUCGUUGCUAACUCGUAAGAGGAUGUAUAACGGGUGAUGCCUGUCCAAUGCCAGAAUGUUAUGCUCUCUUGUGCAAGCUCGAGGGUUAAGCACUGGUGAAUGACGGCCGUAACUAUGACGGUCCUAAGGUAGCGAAAUUCCUUGUCAGGUAAGUUCUGACGCGCAUGAAUGGCAUAAUCAUCCCCAUGCUGUCUUACCCUUAAACUCGGUGAAAUUACAUUCCCGGUAAAAAUGCCGGGUAGUCACAGUUAGACGGAAAGACCCUGUGAAGCUUUACUGUAGAUUGAUAUUGGACUGUAGCAUGUUUUGCUCAGUAUAGGUGGGAGGCUUUGAUGUUUCGACUUCGGUUGGGGCGGAGCCAAAAGUGAGAUACCACCCAAAAUAUGUAGCAGUUCUAAUCCCUGUGUUGGGAGACAGUUUCAGUUGGACAGUUUACCUGGGGCGGGUGCCUCCUAAAAAGUAGCGGAGGCGUGCAAAGGUUUGCUUACUACGGAUGGAAACCGUGGUGAAUGUGUAUUCGCAUAAGCAAGCUUGACUGUGAGACUGACAGGUCGAACAGAUACGAAAGUAGGCGAAAGUGAUCCGGAUCUUCCGAGUGGAAGGGGAUCCGCUCAACGGAUAAAAGUUACUCCGGGGAUAACAGGCUAAUGGAAUCUAAGCGUUCACAGCGACGAUUCCGUUUGGCACCUCGAUGUCGACUCGUCGCAUCCUGGGGCUGUAGAAGGUCCCAAGGGUUGGGUUGUUCACCCAUUAAAGCGGGACGCG
RNAcentral lists this ribosomal RNA (1837 nucleotides) under human oral metagenome. Its description in RNAcentral is "bacterial LSU rRNA". It matches the Rfam family "Bacterial large subunit ribosomal RNA", at positions 762 to 2602 of the family's 2925-position model. The record is from RNAcentral.